This 246-nucleotide ribosomal RNA is filed under the name uncultured bacterium. RNAcentral's name for it is "partial 16S ribosomal RNA". It matches the Rfam family "Bacterial small subunit ribosomal RNA", at positions 118 to 348 of the family's 1533-position model. The record is from RNAcentral.
UGGGUAACCUGCCUCAAAGAGGGGAAUAGCCUCCCGAAAAGGGAGAUUAAUACCGCAUAAUAUGUUUAGGUCGCAUGACUUUAACAUCAAAGGAUUUUCUUUUAGAAAUUCCACUUUGAGAUGGACCCGCGGCGCAUUAGCUAGUUGGUGAGGUAACGGCUCACCAAGGCAACGAUGCGUAGCCGACCUGAGGAGGGUGAUCGGCCACAUUGGAACUGACGACACGGUCCAGCCUCCGUAGGGACG